CCUGCCCUUUAGACGGGGACAACAUUCCGAAAGGAGUGCUAAUACCGGAUGUGAUCAUCGUGCCGCAUGGCAGGAUGAAGAAAGAUGGCCUCUACAAGUAAGCUAUCGCUAAAGGAUGGGCCUGCGUCUGAUUAGCUAGUUGGUAGUGUAACGGACUACCAAGGCGAUGAUCAGUAGCCGGUCUGAGAGGAUGAACGGCCACAUUGGGACUGAGACACGGCCCAAACUCCUACGGGAGGCAGCAGUGGGGAAUCUUCCGCAAUGGACGAAAGUCUGACGGAGCAACGCCGCGUGAGUGAUGAAGGAUUUCGGUCUGUAAAGCUCUGUUGUUUAUGACGAACGUGCAGUGUGUGAACAAUGCAUUGCAAUGACGGUAGUAAACGAGGAAGCCACGGCUAACUACGUGCCAGCAGCCGCGGUAAUACGUAGGUGGCGAGCGUUGUCCGGAAUUAUUGGGCGUAAAGAGCAUGUAGGCGGCUUAAUAAGUCGAGCGUGAAAAUGCGGGGCUCAACCCCGUAUGGCGCUGGAAACUGUUAGGCUUGAGUGCAGGAGAGGAAAGGGGAAUUCCCAGUGUAGCGGUGAAAUGCGUAGAUAUUGGGAGGAACACCAGUGGCGAAGGCGCCUUUCUGGACUGUGUCUGACGCUGAGAUGCGAAAGCCAGGGUAGCGAACGGGAUUAGAUACCCCGGUAGUCCUGGCCGUAAACGAUGGGUACAAGGUGUAGGAGGUAUCGACCCCUUCUGUGCCGGAG
RNAcentral lists this ribosomal RNA (750 nucleotides) under uncultured bacterium. RNAcentral's name for it is "bacterial SSU rRNA". It matches the Rfam family "Bacterial small subunit ribosomal RNA", at positions 125 to 851 of the family's 1533-position model. The record is from RNAcentral.